Molecule: ribosomal RNA, 441 nt
Filed under: uncultured bacterium
Lineage: Bacteria
Description: partial 16S ribosomal RNA
Rfam family: Bacterial small subunit ribosomal RNA
Source: RNAcentral
CCUACGGGAGGCAGCAGUGGGGAAUAUUGCACAAUGGGGGAAACCCUGAUGCAGCGACGCCGCGUGAGUGAAGAAGUAUUUCGGUAUGUAAAGCUCUAUCAGCAGGGAAGAAGAAAGACGGUACCUGACUAAGAAGCCCCGGCUAACUACGGGCCAGCAGCCGCGGUAAUACGUAGGGGGCAAGCGUUAUCCGGAUUUACUGGGUGGAAAGGGAGGGUAGACGGCUGUGCAAGUCUGAAGUGAAAGCCCAGGGCUCAACCCUGGGACUGCUUUGGAAACUGUGGAGCUAGAGUGCUGGAGAGGUAAGUGGAAUUCCUAGUGUAGCGGUGAAAUGCGUAGAUAUUAGGAGGAACACCAGUGGCGAAGGCGGCUUACUGGACAGUAACUGACGUUGAGGCUCGAAAGCGUGGGGAGCAAACAGGAUUAGAUACCCCGGUAGUC